GGGAGAAGAGAGAGAGAGAGAGAGAGACUGAUUGAUUGACAAAAUAAAAUAAAGUUUUAGUUUGUGAAGAAACAAAAGCAUAAAAUGAAAAUGAGAUAGGAGAAUAGGUCAAUGAUUACGUCGUCUGAAACUGAUUGCACGAAAUAAGGGAAGAGGAGAAAGAUAAAUUAAUUUGUGCUUCCUUUCGUUCUAGUUUGUGAACUCUAUAUUCGAGCUUUUGAUAGUUCAAAUCA
This 233-nucleotide long non-coding RNA is filed under the name Phoenix dactylifera (date palm). Its description in RNAcentral is "long non-coding RNA (PDAC_LNC003045)". The record is from RNAcentral. Lineage: Eukaryota; Viridiplantae; Streptophyta; Magnoliopsida; Arecales; Arecaceae.